This 439-nucleotide ribosomal RNA is filed under the name uncultured bacterium. RNAcentral describes it as "partial 16S ribosomal RNA". It matches the Rfam family "Bacterial small subunit ribosomal RNA", at positions 339 to 795 of the family's 1533-position model. The record is from RNAcentral.
CUACGGGUCGCUCCAGUGGGGGAUAUUGCACAAUGGGCGAAAGCCUGAUGCAGCAACGCCGCGUGAAGGAAGACGGAUUUCGGUCUGUAAACUUCUAUCAGCUGGGAAGAAAAUGACGGUACCAGACUAAGAAGCCCCGGCUAACUACGUGCCAGCAGCCGCGGUAAUACGUAGGGGGCAAGCGUUAUCCGGAUUUACUGGGUGUAAAGGGUACGUAGGCGGUCGCUUAAGUCAGAUGUGAAAGCCCGAAGCUCAACUUCGGGACUGCAUUUGAAACUGGGUGACUAGAGUACAGGAGAGGAAAGCGGAAUUCCUAGUGUAGCGGUGAAAUGCGUAGAUAUUAGGAAGAACACCAGUGGCGAAGGCGGCUUUCUGGACUGUAACUGACGCUGAGGUACGAAAGCGUGGGGAGCGAACAGGAUUAGAUACCCCGGUAGUC